GUCCUCGUAGCUUAAUGGAUAGAGCAUUGGGUUGCGGACCCAAAGACUGGGAGUUCGACUCUCCCCGAGGACG
This 73-nucleotide transfer RNA is filed under the name Candidatus Levybacteria bacterium RIFCSPHIGHO2_01_FULL_37_33. Its description in RNAcentral is "tRNA-Arg". It matches the Rfam family "tRNA". From Rfam's summary of the family: Transfer RNA (tRNA) molecules are approximately 80 nucleotides in length. Their secondary structure includes four short double-helical elements and three loops (D, anti-codon, and T loops). Further hydrogen bonds mediate the characteristic L-shaped molecular structure. tRNAs have two regions of fundamental functional importance: the anti-codon, which is responsible for specific mRNA codon recognition, and the 3' end, to which the tRNAs corresponding amino acid is attached (by aminoacyl-tRNA synthetases). tRNAs cope with the degeneracy of the genetic code in two manners: having more than one tRNA (with a specific anti-codon) for a particular amino acid; and 'wobble' base-pairing, i.e. permitting non-standard base-pairing at the 3rd anti-codon position. The record is from RNAcentral. RNAcentral also lists the same sequence under 1 other name. Lineage: Bacteria; Candidatus Levyibacteriota.